This 423-nucleotide ribosomal RNA is filed under the name uncultured eukaryote. Its description in RNAcentral is "SSU rRNA". It matches the Rfam family "Eukaryotic small subunit ribosomal RNA", at positions 592 to 1018 of the family's 1831-position model. The record is from RNAcentral.
CAAUAGCGUAUAUUAAAGUUGUUGCGGUUAAAAAGCUCGUAGUUGGAUUUUGGGUCCGCUUUUGUUGGGCAGGUGUAAACUUGAUCUGACAGAACGGACCUUCUGUCUGGAGGUAGCGUCCUUCAACUUCAUUGGGCUGGAUGCUACGUCUAGGACUUUUACUUUGAACAAAUUAGAGUGUUUAAAGCAGGCUAACGCCUUGAAUACAUUAGCAUGGAAUAACCGAAUAGGACUUUGGUUCUAUUUUGUUGGUUUUAAGAACCGAAGUAAUGAUUAAUAGGGAUAGUUGGGGGCAUUCGUAUUUAAUUGUCAGAGGUGAAAUUCUUAGAUUUAUUGAAGACGAACUUCUGCGAAAGCAUUUGCCAAGGAUGUUUUCAUUAAUCAAGAACGAAAGUUAGGGGAUCGAAGACGAUUAGAUACCAU